This 72-nucleotide transfer RNA is filed under the name Mesorhizobium sp. Its description in RNAcentral is "tRNA-Arg". It matches the Rfam family "tRNA". From Rfam's summary of the family: Transfer RNA (tRNA) molecules are approximately 80 nucleotides in length. Their secondary structure includes four short double-helical elements and three loops (D, anti-codon, and T loops). Further hydrogen bonds mediate the characteristic L-shaped molecular structure. tRNAs have two regions of fundamental functional importance: the anti-codon, which is responsible for specific mRNA codon recognition, and the 3' end, to which the tRNAs corresponding amino acid is attached (by aminoacyl-tRNA synthetases). tRNAs cope with the degeneracy of the genetic code in two manners: having more than one tRNA (with a specific anti-codon) for a particular amino acid; and 'wobble' base-pairing, i.e. permitting non-standard base-pairing at the 3rd anti-codon position. The record is from RNAcentral. Lineage: Bacteria; Pseudomonadati; Pseudomonadota; Alphaproteobacteria; Hyphomicrobiales; Phyllobacteriaceae.
CGUAGCUCAGCUGGAUAGAGCGCUGCCCUCCGAAGGCAGAGGUCACAAGUUCGAAUCUUGUCGGGUGCGCCA